This 330-nucleotide unclassified non-coding RNA is filed under the name soil metagenome. Its description in RNAcentral is "partial contains 5.8S ribosomal RNA, internal transcribed spacer 2, and large subunit ribosomal RNA". The stretch from base 2 to 121 matches the Rfam family "5.8S ribosomal RNA", at positions 35 to 154 of the family's 154-position model. The record is from RNAcentral.
GGAUGAAGAACGCAGCGAAAUGCGAUAAGUAAUGUGAAUUGCAGAAUUCAGUGAAUCAUCGAAUCUUUGAACGCACAUUGCGCCCUCUGGUAUUCCGGGGGGCAUGCCUGUUCGAGCGUCAUUAUAACCACUCAAGCUCUCGCUUGGUAUUGGGGUUCGCGGUUCCGCGGCCCCUAAAAUCAGUGGCGGUGCCUGUCGGCUCUACGCGUAGUAAUACUCCUCGCGAUUGAGUCCGGUAGGUCUACUUGCCAGCAACCCCCAAUUUUUACAGGUUGACCUCGGAUCAGGUAGGGAUACCCGCUGAACUUAAGCAUAUCAAUAAGCGGAGGA